AGGGUUUCUCCAAGUAGAUUUGAGCCUUCCCCAAAUACACCUGCUCCGGAUAGGCCCGUUAAGUGCAGCCAAAUCCUGCCCUUACAGAGAGUCCAGUUCACUUGGGAAGCUUGAUGGGAUAUCAGAUGCCUGGUGCCCACCUUAGACCUACAUAGGGGGGACCAGAUGUCCUGCUCUCCCUGGGACAGUCUUGGUUUAUGUCUGUUGUCCUGGCAUAAUUAUUAAUAUUGCAUCCUUUCUCAAAAGCGCCCUGGUUUGGACAAUAAAUUAUACGGUCACUCUAGAUUUACAGAAUACCUAGUUUUUGUUCUUUUUUUUUUUUUUUCAAACUAAUCUCCACACCCAAUGUGGAGCUUGAAAUCACAACCCCGAGAUCAAGAGUCUCAAGCUCCGCCGACUGAGCCAGCCAGGCGUCCCCAAAAGGCCUAGUUUUGCAAGCUCCCCAGCUAGUACUUAUUAACACAGGAGUGUGAAAACCAUGUACUGAUUGCUAUCUGUUCCUGUUUUUUUGCUUUCAAAGUAUGUUAAUUUGUUUCUCAGAGUCUCUUAAUUGGUAACUAAAGCACCAAGCAUCCCAAGUGCCUAUCCCUGUUUUACCAUGUAACCCUUUCCAAGAACUAUGAGAGUAGAAAUGAUUAUCUCAAGUCCACACUUGAGAGGCUGGGGAAAGGGGCAGGGGUCAAGUAAUUAUAUGAAGUAUCAGAACUGGUUUUUUCUUUUUGUUUUUUUUAAUGUUUACUUAUUGAGAGGGAGAGAGAUUCUCAAGCAGGCUCUGCACUAUCGGCUCAGGGCCCAAUGCGGGGCUCGAUCCCACAUACUGUGAGAUCAUGACCUGAGCUGAAAUCAAGAGUCCGACGCUCAACCAACUGAGCCACUCAGGUGCCUCCAGAACUGCGGUUUUAAAGACGAAGGUUCCCAGCGUUAAAACCCAAAGCUGAUUCCAUGAAGCCACACUGCUUCCCUCUCUUGUGGAGAAGGGACUCUGAACUUGAGAAAGUGACUUUCCUGAGCUCACACAGUGGUCCUGGGCAUUUCCACUUCAGUAUCUUCCAGGUCUCAAACUCAGUGUUAAACACUGCUCUUUGCUUUCACCUCCCUCCCCAGACUCAUUCCUCCCAAAGGAUUCCUCACCUUCCUGUUCUCACUUUCUGCACAACAGUCAAAAUCAGCCUCUUCUCUCCAACCUCAUUCCUGCUACCUUAGAGCAAGCCCCAUUAUUUUUGAAACACUUUUUAUUGUUAAGAGUAGCACACAUACAGAAAAGUGCACAAAACAGAAAUGUAAAGGCCGCCUGGGUGGCUGAGUUGGUUAAGCGUCUGGCUCAGGUCUUGAUCUUAGGGUGGUGAGUUUGGCUCUGCAUCAGGCCUGCGUUGGGCUCUGCGCUGUGCGUGAAACUUCCUUAAAAGGAAAGAGAGAGAGAAAUGUAAAACUUAGUGAUUUGUCACAGAGUGAACACCCAGGUGAACAUCACUCAGGUCAUGGUAUCAUCGAGCCCAGGGGCACCUGGAUGGCUCAGUCGGUUGAGUGUCCAACUUCAGCUCAGGUCAUGACCUCACAGUUUGUGAGUUCGAGCCCCGUGUCGGGCUCUGUGCUGACAGCUCGGAGCCUGGAGCCUGCUUCACAUUCUGUGUCUCCCCGUCUCUCGGCCCCUCCCCUGCUCAUGCUCUGUCUCUCUCUGUGUCUCUCAAAAAUAAAUGUUAAAACAUUUUUUUAAAAAAGGGUAUCAUCAAUCACUGUUAAUUUUGUGAUAAUCACUUCUUUCUUUGAUAGUUUGACCACUGGGUGUCUCUAAACACUAUAGUUUCACUUUGCCUGUUCCUUGAACUUCAUUUAAAUGGAAUUACGCAGUUCUAUAUAUUGUGUUGGCUUUCUUUUGCUCGACAUUGCACUUGUGAGACUCAUUUAUGUUGUUGCAUGUAGCUGUAGUUCAUUCUCAUUGCUGUAUUCUGUCUUCCAAUGUAUAUUUAUCUAUUCUACUGUUGGGAUAUUUGAAACUGCUCCCCCAACCCUGUAUCUCCUUUCUGAAUUAUUACAGAUGCUUAAUAAUAAUAACAAAACAAUUAUAUUUAAAUAAAUAACAAGUUAAUAAU
This is a long non-coding RNA of Acinonyx jubatus (cheetah), 2090 nucleotides long. RefSeq lists it as uncharacterized. NCBI's taxonomy places the organism in Eukaryota, Metazoa, Chordata, Mammalia, Carnivora, Felidae. The record is from RefSeq and is a predicted model, not a curated record. The transcript has 2 exons.